CCUACGGGUGGCAGCAGUGGGGAAUAUUGCACAAUGGGGGAAACCCUGAUGCAGCGACGCCGCGUGAAGGAAGAAGUAUUUCGGUACGUAAACCUCUAUCAGCAGGGAAGAAAAUGACGGUACCUGACUAAGAAGCCCCGGCUAACUACGUGCCAGCAGCCGCGGUAAUACGUAGGGGGCAAGCGUUAUCCGGAUUUACUGGGUGUAAAGGGAGCGUAGGCGGUUCAGCAAGUCAGAAGUGAAAGCCCAGGGCUCAACCACGGGACUGCUUUGGAAACUGUUGAACUAGAUUGCAGGAGAGGUAAGCGGAAUUCCUAGUGUAGCGGUGAAAUGUGUAGAUAUUAGGAGGAACACCAGUGGCGAAGGCGGCUUACUGGACUGUAAAUGACGCUGAGGCUCGAAAGCGUGGGGAGCAAACAGGAUUAGAUACCCUUGUAGUC
RNAcentral lists this ribosomal RNA (440 nucleotides) under uncultured bacterium. RNAcentral describes it as "partial 16S ribosomal RNA". It matches the Rfam family "Bacterial small subunit ribosomal RNA", at positions 338 to 795 of the family's 1533-position model. The record is from RNAcentral.